GAUGAACGCUGGCGGCGUGCCUAAUACAUGCCAGUCGAGCGAACGGACGAGAAGCUUGCUUGUCUGAUGUUAGCGGCGGACGGGUGAGUAACACGUGGAUAACCUACCUAUAAGACUUUUAUAACUUCGGGAAACCGUAGCUAAUACCGGAUAAUAUUUUGAACCGCAUGGUUCAAAAGUGAAAGACGGUCUUGCUUUCACUUAUAGAUGGAUCCGCGCUGCAUUAGGUAGUUGGUAAGGUAACGGCUUACCAAGGCAACGAUGCAUAGCCGACCUGAGAGGGUGAUCGGAUAGACUGGAACUGAGACACGGUACAGACUCCUACGGGAGGCAGCAGUAGGGAAUCUUCCGCAAUGGGCGAAAGCCUGACGGAGCAACGCCGCGUGAGUGAUGAAGGUCCUCGGAUCGUAAAACUAUGUUAUUAGGGAGGAACAUAUGUGUAAGUAACUGUGCACAUCUUGACGGUACCUAAUCAGAAAGCCACGGCUAACUACGUG
Molecule: ribosomal RNA, 497 nt
Filed under: uncultured bacterium
Lineage: Bacteria
Description: partial 16S ribosomal RNA
Rfam family: Bacterial small subunit ribosomal RNA
Source: RNAcentral